AACGAACGCUGGCGGCAUGCCUAACACAUGCAAGUCGAACGAGAUCUUCGGGUCUAGUGGCGCACGGGUGCGUAACGCGUGGGAAUCUGCCCUUUGGUUCGGGAUAACAGUUGGAAACGACUGCUAAUACCGGAUGAUGACGAAAGUCCAAAAAUUUAUCGCCAGAGGAUGAGCCCGCGUAGCAUUAGCUAGUGGGUGUGGUAAAGGCGCACCAAGGCGACGAUCCUUAGCUGGUCUGAGAGGAUGAUCAGCCACACAGGGAUUGAGACACGGCCCAGACUACUACGUGAGGCAGCAGUGGGGAAUAUUGCACAAUGGUCGAAAGCCUGAACCAGCAAGGCCGCGUGAGUGAGGAAGGCCUUAGGGUUGUAAAGCUCUUUUACCCGGGAUGAUAAUGACAGUACCGAGAGAAUAAACUCCGGCUAACUCCGUGCCAGCCGCCGCCGUAA
RNAcentral lists this ribosomal RNA (449 nucleotides) under uncultured bacterium. RNAcentral's name for it is "partial 16S ribosomal RNA". It matches the Rfam family "Bacterial small subunit ribosomal RNA", at positions 29 to 523 of the family's 1533-position model. The record is from RNAcentral.